RNAcentral lists this transfer RNA (70 nucleotides) under Monodelphis domestica (gray short-tailed opossum). It matches the Rfam family "tRNA". From Rfam's summary of the family: Transfer RNA (tRNA) molecules are approximately 80 nucleotides in length. Their secondary structure includes four short double-helical elements and three loops (D, anti-codon, and T loops). The record is from Rfam by way of RNAcentral. Lineage: Eukaryota; Metazoa; Chordata; Mammalia; Didelphimorphia; Didelphidae.
GAGAAAGUCAUAAAGGUUAUGGGGUUUGACUUGAAAUUAAUCUGAGGGGGUUCAAUUCCUCCCUUUCUUA